AACGAAUGCUAAUACCCAUAUGCUUUGAGUGAAAUGGAUUUUAUCCGCCUAGAGAGAAGCUCGCGGCUGAUUAGCUUGUUGGUAAGGUAAGAGCUUACCAAGGCGACGAUCAGUAUCUGGUUUGAGAGGACGAUCAGACACACUGGAACUGAGACACGGUCCAGACUCCUACGGGAGGCAGCAGUGGGGAAUUUUCCGCAAUGGGCGAAAGCCUGACGGAGCAAUACCGCGUGAGGGAAGAAUGCCUAUGGGUUGUAAACCUCUUUUUUCAGGGAGGAAUAAAAUGACGUGUACCUGAAGAAUAAGCAUCGGCUAACUCCGUG
This 323-nucleotide ribosomal RNA is filed under the name uncultured bacterium. Its description in RNAcentral is "bacterial SSU rRNA". It matches the Rfam family "Bacterial small subunit ribosomal RNA", at positions 155 to 507 of the family's 1533-position model. The record is from RNAcentral.